This 210-nucleotide RNase P RNA is filed under the name Planctomycetaceae bacterium. RNAcentral describes it as "partial RNase P RNA component class A". It matches the Rfam family "Bacterial RNase P class A", at positions 167 to 367 of the family's 367-position model. From Rfam's summary of the family: Ribonuclease P (RNase P) is a ubiquitous endoribonuclease, found in archaea, bacteria and eukarya as well as chloroplasts and mitochondria. Its best characterised activity is the generation of mature 5'-ends of tRNAs by cleaving the 5'-leader elements of precursor-tRNAs. The record is from RNAcentral. Lineage: Bacteria; Pseudomonadati; Planctomycetota; Planctomycetia; Planctomycetales; Planctomycetaceae.
GUAAGAGCACACCAGCAGACCGGGUGACCGGUCUGGCUCGGUAAACCCCACCGGGUGCAAGACCAAGCAGGAAGCAGUUCUGGUUCGCCAGAACACGGAUCGGCCCGAUCCGUUAUGACUUCCGGGUCGGUCGCGUGAGGCAGCAGGCAACUGCUGUCCCAGAUAAAUGGCCACUCUCGACAUAACCCGGCUUACAGGCUUGCUCCCGCU